This 72-nucleotide transfer RNA is filed under the name Tor douronensis (river carp). RNAcentral's name for it is "tRNA-Asp". It matches the Rfam family "tRNA". Rfam says of the family: Transfer RNA (tRNA) molecules are approximately 80 nucleotides in length. Their secondary structure includes four short double-helical elements and three loops (D, anti-codon, and T loops). Further hydrogen bonds mediate the characteristic L-shaped molecular structure. tRNAs have two regions of fundamental functional importance: the anti-codon, which is responsible for specific mRNA codon recognition, and the 3' end, to which the tRNAs corresponding amino acid is attached (by aminoacyl-tRNA synthetases). tRNAs cope with the degeneracy of the genetic code in two manners: having more than one tRNA (with a specific anti-codon) for a particular amino acid; and 'wobble' base-pairing, i.e. permitting non-standard base-pairing at the 3rd anti-codon position. Lineage: Eukaryota; Metazoa; Chordata; Actinopteri; Cypriniformes; Cyprinidae. The record is from RNAcentral.
AAGACAUUAGUAAAAUGAAAAUUACACCACCUUGUCAAGGUAGAGUUGUAGGUUAGACCCCUGCAUGUCUUA